Long non-coding RNA from Empidonax traillii (willow flycatcher), 2816 nucleotides. RefSeq lists it as uncharacterized. The record is from RefSeq and is a predicted model, not a curated record. NCBI's taxonomy places the organism in Eukaryota, Metazoa, Chordata, Aves, Passeriformes, Tyrannidae. The transcript is spliced from 3 exons.
AAGCUCUUCAGCAUCAUGCAGUCUGACUCAUGUAUGUGACGUAGAUUUUCCAUGUGUAGAGGCUAAAGUAAUAUUUGCUUUGGCACUCACAAGGAUAUGUUGAUUCUGGCAAGGCUUUAAUAUGCUAUGUUGUUAGUUUAACAAAAAUGUGACAUCAGAAGAAACCAAAACCUGAGUUUUGAAUGGCCUUAAGCGAGAUUGUUUCUCUUCCCCAAUUUGCAUCAUGAGUAUUGGCUGUCUCUUUGAGAGUAAUGGUGCCUGCUUUAGAAGUAAUAAGAUCAGCUACUAUUUAUAAGUGUAGAAUAUCCGCUGUCUGAACAGUUGUAAGAUUCACAGAAGGGGAGUGGAAAUGGAAAAAGAUCAUUCCCAAUAAGAACUUCUGAAUCUGAGUACGACUUUCAGUAAUUUGGCAUCCUGACAUUUCACUUUUCAAAAAGCUUAAUCAAGGACAUAUUUUUUAAGUACUUUCAAAUUAUUAGUUGGUAAAACUAAUAUUACAGUAUUGUCAAAAGAAAGAAAAUGUGCAGAAAACUAUAUAGGAAAUGCAGUUUAAAAUGUCUUAUUGUUAAUUUCUGGAGGAAAAAAGAAAUUAGUUUAUUGCAAGCAAAGUGUGCCCAGUCUAGAAAAAGGAUUUAAGUUUCACUUUUAACAUCUGGAGUUAUUUCUUUACUCAGAUAUGUACUGAAAUUAACUUAUAGAAGUACACAUUCUAUAAAUACUUAACAUUUCAAUUUAUAAUUGCAAAUUUUCUUUAGUUUUUUUUUUUGUUCAGCAUGACUUCCUAAUGGCAAUUAGAGAAAGGUAAUCUUGUUAGAAUUGGGCUUUGGCUUCAUUGGCUUUGGCUUGCUUUCUCAGUAGUUUGUACUUUUUGCCCGUCUCCACUGGUAUUGUAUUACAUUUAUGUGCAUGGCCACUUGAAAAGGAUACUUAUCGGUCUAGACCUUUCUUAGUUUUGAAACAAGUGCAAGACAGCUAUAAAGUAAAGAAAGCGACCAACCUUUUUUCCUACACUAACUUUGAAGUAUCUAGUCAACAACAAUUAGCUCAUAUAAAAAAAUGUUGGGUUUUUUCCCAGCAAAACCAAGGCAAGUGCUUGUGCCAUAUCUACAAAUCCAUAGACUCCGAAGGACAACCAAAAUGCAGGUCUGAUGAGGAGACAGCAGAAACUCUAGCAACACUAGGGAAAAGUUUGUUGUCUUGGAAACUGCUCAGCUAAUCUCCUGAUUCUGCUGUUUAAUAAUUACUAAAAAUUUAUAACUAACACCACCAAAAUUUGUAUUAAACACCAGUGGAAAUCACUUAACGUAAGUUUUGCUACUUCAUUUUCAUUUAUGGUGUGAACUUAAUUCAGUGCUCUGGUGUGCUCUUUGACCUGUUGACAUAUGGCUUAUUUCCCUUUUCCUGUGCAUAGUGGACAUCUAAGCAGUUUUCACAGGAGUUACAUACACAAACAUUUGCAGUAAAGUUUGCUGGCUGAGUUAUUGCUAGGAUUGAAGCAAGAGAGUUUUAUUUCUGUCUGCUUUUUGUUGUUGGGUUAAUGCAAUGAAUUAUAAAGAUGAUAAAUUAUAUACAGUGGUGUUGGGUGCAUUUUUUUAGUUAUUUUAAGUCAAAUAUCAGGAUUGUAGAACAGUUUGGGUUGUAAGGAACCUUGAAGAUCCUGUAGUUCCAACCACCCUGCUGCAGGCACGGACACCUUCCACUAAACCAGGUUGGUCAAAGACCUAUCCAACCCAGCCUUGAACAUGAGUAUGCUGUCAGUGAUAACAAUUCAUAUAUAAACUAUUCCUUCUCCAUUGAGUGUCUUCAUGGGAGAUGGUUGAACAACCUUGGAAAUAAACCCUUUAUACAUAUUAUAAAAAUAUUAAACGUUGCUGUUGUUAAUAAUACAGGUCACUUUGCCUUUCAGUAUGUGUAGACUUCUUUCCAUGUUUGGAACAAGGAUUGGACUCUGGGGUGAUCAUCCUUCACCCUUUGCUAGUACCAAGCAAGUAAAAAAGGAGAAUUUAUCUGAUUUGAAAGCAAGAGCCGUAGUUGUAGGAAGGGAGGAAAAUGAAGAUGCAGGUCAGAGGCAGACAAGAGAAGGGUGUUUCCUCUGGGUACUAGGGUAAGAAGGAAGCUUGGAUAGACUCACCAGAAAGAACGAGAUGCAGAACUGAACAGGGAACUGAGGAACAGAAAACCAUGGGCACCAUAUAUGGAGGAGAUGUGUAACAGGAGGCAGUGUGGCAGGGGAAAAAUGUUUUUACCUUCUCUCAAGUAGAACCCCAUAGUGACAGAAGCAACAUUCCUAACCUCCUGGGAAGCACAUACAAAAGAAUAACAAGUGUCUGCAUCCUGAUUGUGUUCAAUCAAGGCACUCCAAGAAUGAGAUUUGGAGUAUUUAAGGGAUCUACUAAAGCUCAGAAAUGAAACAUAGGUCAUCUAAAACAAUGGAUCUUUCCAGAGUAAUAGCAAAAUUGACCAUGUGAGAACAGAGUUUUCUCUGGAAACAGUUCAGCUCUGUCUCAGAAACUAGAGAUAAGGAACAUAAGUACCCAUGUUUGUGUGCACGUGUGUGUAAAACAAAAUAAGAAUUCCAAAACAAAGCAGUUGACUCGCUUCUUCCCAGCUCUACAUAGACAGAAUCGUAGAACUGCAGAGACAGCAGUUGUGUUGCUGUAUGCGUGCCUGAGGCAUGGUCAGGAAACAAUAUAGAAAUACAUAAAAACAUAGAAUGGAAAAAAUAAACUAAUGUGCAGGAAUGUCUUGCUGCUAUUUUGUUUGUUUCUCUGUGUAUUGUAAAUAAAUGAGUAUGUGCAGUUGACCAUGGAUUAUCC